RNAcentral lists this ribosomal RNA (301 nucleotides) under uncultured bacterium. Its description in RNAcentral is "partial 16S ribosomal RNA". It matches the Rfam family "Bacterial small subunit ribosomal RNA", at positions 509 to 807 of the family's 1533-position model. The record is from RNAcentral.
CAGCCGCCGCGGUAAAACGGAGGGGGCUAGCGUUGUUCGGAAUUACUGGGCGUAAAGCGCACGUAGGCGGCUUGGUAAGUUAGAGGUGAAAGCCUGGAGCUCAACUCCAGAAUUGCCUUUAAGACUGCCGAGCUAGCAGGUGAGAGAGGUAAGUGGAAUUCCGAGUGUAGAGGUGAAAUGCGUAGAGAUCGGAAGGAACAUCUGUGGCGAAGGCGACUAUCUGGGCCAACACUGACACUGAGGCACGAAAGCGUGGGGAGCAAACAGGAUUAGAUACCCCUGUAGUCCCUGUCUCUUAUAC